RNAcentral lists this long non-coding RNA (617 nucleotides) under Mytilus galloprovincialis (Mediterranean mussel). Lineage: Eukaryota; Metazoa; Mollusca; Bivalvia; Mytilida; Mytilidae. The record is from RNAcentral.
GUUUUAUUUAUAAUAAAUAUAUAUUUGUAUUCGGUAUAUAUGUACACAGUUAUAACAAUCAUAUUCCUUCAAACUAAUCUGGAAUAAACUUCCAAGUUCGCCGUUUCGUAUAUGUCGAAUGUAACACAAUCAAACCAAUUUUCAGUUUAUUUCACUUUUACCUACAUUAUACAACCAUCACGAACACUAAUACUCCCAUCUCGAAUAUGGGCCGAUUUAAAGUAUUUUUGUACACGAGCGUUUCCCACAAUUAUACAUAAAUCGUCGGCAUCUUCUUUCGACACUGUUUACUUUAAUAACAUAAUGUUUUGUCGUUAUAAUCACUAAUUAAGUCUUAUUCGGAUAACGUUCUUUGUCAAAAUGUUUAUUUUUAUCUGUACAAUAGUACUAGGUUGUUAUUCACGGUGGGUAUGGUUGUCCUGCGAGAGAACGUUCUGUGCUGGUGAUUCGGUCCUGACGGGUGCUGGUGAUCAAUGAAAAAAUGUAAACAAAGACGAAAAUGAUGAUUUUUGACGUUUUCACUCAUAAAAAAUGGAAGAAAACAGUUGAGAUUUUUCAAUUUUGUUUCUUAUGGGUUCAUAUGUAAACCAUUAAAAAGUUGACCCUCUAAACUGUUU